GAAUUUAAACCCCUUCCAGAGUAUCAAUUGGAGGGCAAGUCUGGUGCCAGCAGCCGCGGUAAUUCCAGCUCCAAUAGCGUAUAUUAAACUUGUUGCAGUUAAAAAGCUCGUAGUUGAAUUUCUGCUGCAUCGUGGUUCUUCGCUAUGUCGAGUGAUCUUCGUUGUGGCUUAGUUGGGGCAUGUUUUCAUGACUCGACGUUUACUUUGAGAAAAUUAGAGUGCUUCAAGCAGGCUUUUGCCUUGAAUACUUUAGCAUGGAAUAAUGGAGUAGGACUUUGGUUCUAUUUUGUUGGUUUUAGGAGCCGGAGUAAUGGUUAAUAGGAACAGUUGGGGGCAUUCGUAUUUGACUGUCAGAGGUGAAAUUCUUAGAUUUGUCAAAGACGAACUACUGCGAAAGCAUUUGCCAAGGAUGUUUCCAUUAAUCAAGAACGAAAGUUAGGGGAUCGAAGACGAUCAGAUACCGUCGUAGUCCUAACCAUAAACGAUGCCGACUAGAGAUUGGAGGUCGUCAGUUUGAACGACUCCUUCAGCACCUU
This 536-nucleotide ribosomal RNA is filed under the name Theileria equi. Its description in RNAcentral is "SSU rRNA". It matches the Rfam family "Eukaryotic small subunit ribosomal RNA", at positions 521 to 1089 of the family's 1831-position model. Lineage: Eukaryota; Apicomplexa; Aconoidasida; Piroplasmida; Theileriidae. The record is from RNAcentral.